This 249-nucleotide ribosomal RNA is filed under the name Triticum aestivum (bread wheat). Its description in RNAcentral is "partial small subunit ribosomal RNA". Lineage: Eukaryota; Viridiplantae; Streptophyta; Magnoliopsida; Poales; Poaceae. The record is from RNAcentral.
UUUCUACCAGAAAGUAGAAAUUUGCAGAUUGUAGGUUUGGCUGCAAUCUGUUGGGCGAUUUGGAAGCUUAGAAAUAGGGCAUGUUUUGAAUUAAAACUUGUUAGACAUCUUGUUUAGUUCAUAUAUUAUGUCUACUCCUUCAUGAACUAUUAGGCAAAUGUACAAAAUGAUGUUGAUCGUUCCAUCUUGGAGCAAGGACGUGAUGCUUUGCAAAGGACAGUGUUGGCGCAACAUGGUGUGUCGCUUUAA